UCGACUACAUGAAGCUGGAAUCGCUAGUAAUCGCGAAUCAGAAUGUCGCGGUGAAUACGUUCCCGGGUCUUGUACACACCGCCCGUCACACCAUGGGAGUCAGUAACGCCCGAAGUCAGUGACCCAACCGGACAGGAGGGAGCUGCCGAAGGCGGGACCGAUAACUGGGGUGAAGUCGUAACAAGGUAAC
This 190-nucleotide ribosomal RNA is filed under the name uncultured bacterium. RNAcentral's name for it is "partial 16S ribosomal RNA". It matches the Rfam family "Bacterial small subunit ribosomal RNA", at positions 1312 to 1500 of the family's 1533-position model. The record is from RNAcentral.